GGCUGUAGCAGUCAAGCGGAAAGAAGUUAACUAGAAGAGGACGCUCUGCCGGGAGAAGGCGUGAGCCUGCACACAGGCCGCGUCAGAACAAAGUCUUGCACACGAGAUUUGUUGUUCCGAGGCAGAACUUUCCUUGACGUGAUGAAUAGUCCAUGAGGGCAUAGAAAGUUCAGGGGAGGGUGCACUGCUGCAGGUGGAAAGAGCCUUUGUAUAACAUAGGAAAUUAAUAGUGUCAUGUAGAACUUGGCUUUGAUGAUUUCGUAAAGCAUGCCUGUUAUCAUUGUUACUCACUGUGCUCCAUUGUUAUUUGCUGUGCUCACCCCCAAUAAAAGCCAGAAGGGAUCAGAGGACCUUUGCUACACGCCUGAGCGAGCGGUAGCCCUCUCUCUACUUCAUCCCACACGCCAAGCUUGCCUCAGUGUCUCAGAUCACUCAGAACAUCAACAAAUGGCGCCUGAACAGGUCAGGGACCCGAAGGAACCAAGAAGUUCUGGAGUCCUGAUAAAAGAAUCAAAUUGAGGCAUGGCGAGCAAGAGGAAGUGUGAUGAAGCGGGACUGGAAGACCGGUUUGCGCAGCUAACCAUCCAGGGAGGACAAACAAUUCGCACGCCGUUGCCUCACACCUGAAACCCCCCUCCACCUACACGGGGACAGGUGAAGCGCCUAUGCCAGGAAGGGGAGCGUCUUGUGACUGCCCAUGGAAGGCCCUGUAACUAAUGACUCUAAUUGGAUGUCUGGACUUUUUAAAGAUCGUGGGCCUUUGAAACCAGAUGCCGGAAUGCCUGUGUGCCUGGGACUGGGUGGUCAUUGUUUGCAAUCGUGUUUUAAAGCCUGGUUGAGUGUGGCUGAAAACACCACUAAUUCUUGAAAGGACCAGUUCAAUGGACUCAAACUACUGGGGAAAUAUCUUGUUUUAAUUGUACUUUGUUAACCUGUGUAAAUAACUCUGUACCUUUUAAUCACAGUAGAGAGAGCUUGUAUCUACCGCGAGCCAGAACAGCAGUAUGGUUACCUGUGCAGAUGGAUCGACGAUGGCAGAAAAGUUCUCUAGCUGGAGCUCUCCAAGCCAUUGUAGAAGGAAUAUU
Myotis davidii is the source of this 1085-nucleotide long non-coding RNA. RefSeq lists it as uncharacterized. The record is from RefSeq and is a predicted model, not a curated record. The transcript is spliced from 2 exons. Lineage: Eukaryota; Metazoa; Chordata; Mammalia; Chiroptera; Vespertilionidae.